Molecule: small nuclear RNA, 102 nt
Organism: Schistocerca serialis cubense
Lineage: Eukaryota; Metazoa; Arthropoda; Insecta; Orthoptera; Acrididae
Source: RefSeq, a predicted model, not a curated record
CCGAAUGCGACUCCAGUGUACUAAAAUUGGAACGAUACAGAGAAAAUUAGCAUGGCCCCAGCGCAAGGAUACACGCAAAAUAGUGAAACGUUCCACACUCCU